GGCAACAUGGCCGAGUGGUUAAGGCGCUAGAUCCAGGUCCGUUAAAGGUCACAUGGUUUUCUAGUCCGAAAGGACAUGGGUUCGAGUCCCAUUGUUGUCA
Molecule: non-coding RNA, 100 nt
Organism: Desarmillaria tabescens
Lineage: Eukaryota; Fungi; Basidiomycota; Agaricomycetes; Agaricales; Physalacriaceae
Source: the annotation of a RefSeq genome assembly